UCCGUGCUUGCAUGGUGCGGCGCGGCGGGGCUGACUGCAGUCAGGUCGCUGCGGGAGCGGAGGCAAAGUGGCGGCGGCUCCUCCUGCUGAGUGGUAAAUGAAUCAUGUGUUGUAACAGCCUGCUCAUUUCUAAAGAACACUGAUCCUGUCUCCUGCAGAGUCUGCUUCAUUAUGAACACCCUCCUGCAAGAUGCUGAGGACUUUGGCCCUCAUUCAUGCAAGUCUUCAGAUACUGAGCUCUGGACGAAGAUCAGUGCAUAACAGUUUUCAGGAUAUAACUUUGCUCCAAGAAGCAUUGUUCAUCAUUUACUCCUGUCAGAGGAUGGGUCCUAAAUAAAGGAAAUAAUCUUGUCUUUCUGUUUUGUUUGUCGAGCAGAAGAGAGACUAUUAACCUAGACAGGAGGACUUCAAAAUCAGCUCAACUUAAAAUAUUCCAUCCAAUUGCUCUAAUGAUGUUAAGGUUAUGAUAAGCUGUAUAUUUCUGUAUAAAAGUUAAAUUAAUAGCAAAAAUAAAUUAAUACCAAAAAAUAAUCUAACAUA
Lonchura striata (white-rumped munia) is the source of this 540-nucleotide non-coding RNA. The record is from RefSeq and is a predicted model, not a curated record. Lineage: Eukaryota; Metazoa; Chordata; Aves; Passeriformes; Estrildidae.